UUCUCUGAUGACUUUCCCUUGUGCUCUGCUGAUACCUGGGUCUCUAGGCACACGUUUCUAGGGUUUAUUUCCUGGUACAUUCCAUGCAUUUAUCAGCGCUUUUCAAGUGCUUGGCAAUGUCUUAAGGUUCUGACUUUCCCUCUUAUCUCUGCACUUUCUCCCUCUGCUAUUUCAUCCGGCCUCAAAGCUUUAAUUAUCAGCGCUCUUCAUCCUCUCCUUAGCGGCCACUGCCUUAAUAUAUAUCCUUAUCAUUUCUUUCCUGGACGUUCACAAACCUGCCUAAAUAAUCUUCCUGCUGACACUUAUUAACUACCUCUUAUCCUAUAAAAACUAUCUUUCCCCACCUUUCUCUCUUUCCUUUAUUUCUCUUAUAUUUAAUAUAAAAUGUUUCAAAAUUUCCCCAAAUUUAGAAAAUUGGAAAGAGUCAAAGUCAAGCAUUUCAGCUUUAGUGGGCUUUCUGCCAGAAUUUCUUGAGGUACAGGUUUUUAAAAGAGGAAUGAAGGGGAGAGAAUUUUUUUCAGCCUUUGAAAAUUAGAUAAGUCUUGUCCAUUUAAAUUGCUCCAACAUAUGAAGAAGGAAUCUUUCAAAUACUUUUUGGGAAGACAGCAACAUACUGAUAAGAAACCUGACAGAAAUAUCUCACAAAAAGAAAUAAGUUCCCUCCUGUGUAGCGGGUUAAGGAUCCUGCAUUGCCGCAGCUGAGGCACAAGUUUGAUCCCUGGCCUGGGAACUUUUACAUAUCCCAGUUGCAGAAAAAAAAAAAAAAGGAAAAAAAAGAUCAGUCUCACUUGUGGAAAUUAUGCAAAAAUACCAAAAAAAAAAAAUGAGCAAAUAUAAUAUGGUAGAAAAGUUAAAAUGAUAAAUAAAGGACUGCAAGAAUGAUUUAAUAGUAAGCACUUUCUUGAAUUAAAAUAGCUUAUUACUAGGACAGGGAUCAAUUUUAAUCAUUGCUUCAAAUAAUGCCAAAUUAGACCUUUGAUAAAAUCCAAAUCCAAAUUGCAUUCCUACCUAAAAAGAACUCUGAGCAUAAACAGGAUCAAAUGACACUUCCUUGACAUACUAAUCUCAUUUCAAAGCAUCAUGCUUAAUAGCGAAAAAAAAAAAUGUGAAAAACUUCCCUUGAAAAGGGAAACAAAAAAUGAAAUUUCAGUUUACUCUUGUUUGCAAAGUACCAAACAAAGCAUUUAGAGAAAUAUAAAGUACCAGUAUAAGAAAUAAAGUAAACUUAUAGCUACUUGUGGAUAAUUUGCCAGCAUGCAUGGAAAAGUUAAGAUUAUCAACUGAAGGAAAACAAUAGAAAUAUAAGAUUUUAUUCAGUAUAUUUGCAUAAUUUUCACAAGUAAGACUACUUGUAGUUUUCUUGGGAUGAGUUAUCUAUGAAAUAGUGCUCAUUGGCUUUGCAAAUAGAAUUUGGAAGUGAUUCUUCUUUUUGUUUUGGAACUAUUUUAAUACCCUGAAUUUAUCUGAUCUUUGAAGUUGGAACAAUUUACAUGCUAACAAACAAAAAAAGCAGAAACCUAUGUCUGUUAAAAACUUGGUAGGAAACUAAUAAAGUAGUUACAAAAUAAUUACUCAAAAGUCAAUAGCUUUUCUAUACAAAAAUAACCAGACAAUAUAAUGGAUUUAAGAGUACUAGCUCUAACAACAAAAUUUUAUCCAAUUUUAUGGAUAAAAUUCAAAUGACUUAUUCAGAACAUAUAGACACUCAUUCCAAAAAAAAAGAAAAUUUUAAGAUUUCUUAAAAUCUUACGUUGAGAGCUAUUAAGGUGAUGAAUAAUUAAAAGGUAUAUCUUGAUAUUGGAUAGAAAGUGUCAAAAUGUAAAAGAAUCUUAAUAAUUAAAUUUCUAAAUUUGAUGGGGUCCCAUGCCAUUGAAAACUAUUAAAAAGUUUAGGAUUCAGGAGAGCCGGGCUUUAAAGAUAUUAGAUGGUUAGAGUUGAUAUUUGAUAGGGGUUUAAUACUAAAAUAUAUAUGUUGUAAAACUUAAUAGCAAAAAAUAUACAGUUGACCCUUGAACAACAUGAGUUUGAACUGUGUGGGUCCACUUACACUUGAAUUUUCUUUUUCAACAAAUACUACUGCAGUACUACAUGAUCUAUAGUUGGUUGAAUCUGAAGAUACAGAAUGUGGACAUAGUGGGCCAACUAUAAAGUUCUAUAUGAAUUUUCAACUGCAGGAGCGUCUAUUCCACUAACCCCUUCAUUGUUUCAAGGGUCAACUGUAAUCUGAUUUAAAUAUGGUCAAAGAACAUGAAUGGACAUUUUUCCAAAGAAGGCAAACAAGUGGCCAACAGGUAUACGAAAAGAUACUAACCAUCACUAAUCAUAGUGGAAAUAAAAAGCAAAAUCACAAUGAGAUAGCACCUCACACCUGUUAGGACAGCUCUCCUCAAAACGUCUAGAGAUAACAAAUGUUGGCAAGGAUGCAGAAAAAAGAAAACCCUUGCACAAUGCUGAUGGGAAUGUAAAUUGGCACAGCCACUAUGGAAAACAUUAUAAAGAUUCCUCGAACAAUUAAAAAAAGGACUAUCCUGUGAUACAGCAAUCCCACUUCCAGGUGUAUAUUUGGAAGGAAACAAAAUCAGUAGCUUGGAGAGAUAACUGUCCUCCCCUGUUCUUUGUGAACAUUCACAAUGACCUAUUGAAACAACCUGAGUAUCUGUUGAUGGAUGAAUGAUAAAGAAAAUGUGAAAUAUACAUUUUUAUACACUGAAAUGUUAUUUGUCCUUUAAAAGAAGAAAAGCCUGCAUUUGUGACAACAUAGAUGAACCUGGAAGGCAUUAUGCUAAGUGAAACAAGCCAGAAGGAGAAAGACAAAUAGUAGAUGACCCCAUUUAUACAUGAGGGGAAAAAAGCCCAACUCAUAGAAACAGAGAGUAGAAUGGUGCUUACCAGCACUAGGAGUGAGGGCAAUGGGGAAAUAUCAGGAAAAAUACAAACUUUCAGCUAUAAGAUGAAUAAGUUCUGGGGAUCUAAUGUACAGCGUGAGGACUGUAGUUAAUUACAUUAUAUUGUAAACUUAAAAUUUGCUAAGAGAGUAAAUCUUAAGCAUUCUCAUCACACAAAAAGUAAAUAAAUACUAGAUUACUCUGAAGUUCAUCUGGAAGAAAAUGAACAUGUGAGAAUAGCUAAGAUAAACAUGAAAACAUGGGAGUAAUGAGAAAAGACAAGCACUGUCAGCAUUUUAAAAUCUUUAAAAUCAUAGUAUUUAAAAUAGCAUUAUACCAGUAGAGGAGUGAACAGACACAGAAAUGAAACGGAAUCCAGAAAUAGAUCUAAAUGCAUAACGUGAUUUAGUCUAUGAUAAAGAUGGAAUUUUUAGCUAGUGGAGUAAAGAUGAAUUAUUUAAUAAACUGUAUUUGAAAAUAGACUAAUUGCUGGAAAACUUAUCUGGAUCACUGGUUAAUUCCUUACAACAAACUUAAUUCUAGAGCAAUAAAAAAUUUAGGUUUUAUUUAAAAAAAAAAUAAGACUUUAAAAAUACCUAGAAGAGGAGUUCCCAUCAUGGCUCAGUGGAAAUGAAUCUGACUGGCAUCCAUGAGGACACAGGUUCAAUCCCUGGCCUCGGUCAGUGGGUUAAAGAUCCGGCAUUGCCGUGAGCUGUGGUGUAGGUCACAGACGCAGCUCUGAUUCGAACCCUAGCCUGGGAACCUCCAUUUGCCAUGAGUGUGGCCUUAAAAAGACAAAAAAAAAAAAAAAAAUACCUAGAAGAAAACAGGUAAAAAUGUGAGCCACAUAGACAGUUUGUUCUGUUCAACAAAGUACUAAUUCAAAAUAUAAGUAUGUGAAAAAUUGUCAUUUUAAUAGAAAAAAGUCAUAUCUGUUUUAACUUUCAGUUCUAUAAUCAUGAGUAAAGUUGGGCUUCUUUUCAUGUGUUUAUUGGCCAUUUAUAUUUUUGAUCUGUUCUUAUACUUUGCCCACUUCAUAUUAUAUAUUUUUAUUGCUGUGUAGGGAUUCUGAUUAUUAACAAACAAUACUAUUGGUCUGCUAGAUACAUUCUGUUGCUUGCCUUUCUGUACCAACUUACAACAGCAUAGAACUAUAAAUUCUAUCAAAUAUGCAAUCUCUUUGUUUAUAAAUUCUAGAUUUCAUACCUACUUAUAAAAGCAUUUUUUCCUGCUCAAGUUAAUAAUAUAAUAUUACAGCAGAUAUGAAAAACAUGCAAUAUAAUUAUGUGUCUUGAUGUGGGGGGGUCUAUAUUAAUUAUCUUUGCGAUAAGUCCAACAUCCUAACACAAAGUACUGAAUCAUCUGUCCUUUCCUCACUUCAGGCAAACUUUGGAUAUAUUCAAUUGGUGUAUGUUCUUAGAUCUGUGUCAGACUCUCAACUCUGUUGCAUGAAAUUAUUUGUUUGUUUUCAUGCCAGAAUUAUAAACAUUAAGUUAUAGUAACUUCUUGUUUUCUAUCUGUCUGAGAGGGUGAACGCCACACUCAUUCUUAUUUUUCAAAAUAUUCUUGUCUACUUUCAUGCAGGUUUGUAAUUUUUUUAUUAUUUGUUUGUCUUCUGUAGAUAAAUAUUGGAAUAAGCUUGACAAGUUCUCCCAAAAUUCCACUGGAGUUACAUUGGAAUGUCAUUGGAUUUAAGAAAAUAAUUGAAAAGACUGACAUUGUUCAAAUAUGGUCUUCCUAACUAAUGGUGUUAUUUAUCCAUACAUUUAUUCAGGUCUUAUUUUACAUCCCCUUGUAAGGUUGGUUUGCUUAUUUGUUUGUUUGUUUGCUGUGCCCACAGUAUGAGGAAGUUCCUGGGUUAGGGAUCGAACCUCUGCCACAGCAGCAACCUGAGUAACAGCAGUGACAAUGCCAGAUCCUUAAUGCAUUGAGCCACCAGGGAACUCUUAUAAUGUUUUAUAGUUUUGUUUUGUUUUUUUUCCCCAGAAAUGUCUUGUACCUUAAAUUUAUUCUUAGCUCUUUGGCACUUUUUAUGGUCCAUGUGAAUGGGCUAUUUUUCAUUUCAUUUUCUAAGUAUUUAUUACAAGUACAAAAGGAAGCCAUCCAUUUUGGACAUUAAGCUUAUGACUCUUUAGUUAAUUGCCUAUUGGUUUUAAUACAUUAUCCCACCACCAUCUUGCAUUCAGUACAACAAUCAACCACUUCUAUUGAAAUAUUUGUAACAUCUCUGUGUCAUCUACAGAUAAUGUCUGAUCUGCCUUUGUGUCGAUAAAACACAGAGGGGUUAAAUAAAUAUUUAUUAGUUUAAUGAAUGCUGAUUCUUAAAUAUACAUUUUAAUCUUGUCCACAGUUUACAGGUUGAAUUUCCAACUG
This 5258-nucleotide long non-coding RNA is filed under the name Sus scrofa (pig). RNAcentral describes it as "lncRNA (ENSSSCG00015040505.1)". The record is from RNAcentral. Lineage: Eukaryota; Metazoa; Chordata; Mammalia; Artiodactyla; Suidae.